AUUGAACGCUGGCGGCAGGCCUAACACAUGCAAGUCGAACGGUAACAGGAAGAAGCCUGCUUCUUUGCUGACGAGUGGCGGACGGGUGAGUAAUGUCUGGGAAACUGCCUGAUGGAGGGGGAUAACUACUGGAAACGGUAGCUAAUACCGCAUAACGUCGCAAGACCAAAGAGGGGGACCUUCGGGCCUCUUGCCAUCGGAUGUGCCCAGAUGGGAUUAGCUAGUAGGUGGGGUAACGGCUCACCUAGGCGACGAUCCCUAGCUGGUCUGAGAGGAUGACCAGCCACACUGGAACUGAGACACGGUCCAGACUCCUACGGGAGGCAGCAGUGGGGAAUAUUGCACAAUGGGCGCAAGCCUGAUGCAGCCAUGCCGCGUGUAUGAAGAAGGCCUUCGGGUUGUAAAGUACUUUCAGCGGGGAGGAAGGGAGUAAAGUUAAUACCUUUGCUCAUUGACGUUACCCGCAGAAGAAGCACCGGCUAACUCCGU
Molecule: ribosomal RNA, 489 nt
Filed under: uncultured bacterium
Lineage: Bacteria
Description: partial 16S ribosomal RNA
Rfam family: Bacterial small subunit ribosomal RNA
Source: RNAcentral